GAUUUCUGGUGUGACGUGCUUAGCCCGCCAUGGUUUCAUGUGUGAGUGCUGAUGUAAGUCUGCCAUCCUUCUAGUAUACUGCAUUGCUCUUCAUUGAGUAGUGACAGGAUCUAGAUCAUUUACUUUGAACAAAUUAGAGUGUUUCAAGCAGGCGUAAUGCUAUGAAUACAUUAGCAUGGAAUAAUAAGUUAGGACUUCGGUUCUCGUUUGUUGGUUUUCGCAGAGCGGAAGUAAUGAUUGAGAGGGAUAGUUGGGGGUGCUAGUAUUCAGUGGCCAGAGGUGAAAUUCUCGGAUUCCCUGAAGACUAACUUAUGCGAAAGCAUU
RNAcentral lists this ribosomal RNA (324 nucleotides) under uncultured Sandonidae. RNAcentral describes it as "bacterial SSU rRNA". It matches the Rfam family "Eukaryotic small subunit ribosomal RNA", at positions 624 to 955 of the family's 1831-position model. The record is from RNAcentral. Lineage: Eukaryota; Cercozoa; Glissomonadida; Viridiraptoridae.